Long non-coding RNA from Dicentrarchus labrax (European seabass), 637 nucleotides. RefSeq lists it as uncharacterized. The transcript has 2 exons. Lineage: Eukaryota; Metazoa; Chordata; Actinopteri; Moronidae. The record is from RefSeq and is a predicted model, not a curated record.
CUGAUGAAAGUCUGAAGUCUGUUUUGGAUGGAUACUGCAGGCAGGUUAGAAAAAGGUGCCUCUACACUGGAAUAUCUUGCUCAGUAUUAAUGAAGACUGCAGACAGAAGAUGAGUGCAUAUGGCAGUGGUGUUCGUGUAUUUUUUCCAUUCGUGUGAACAUGGACACCUUGUGUCACCGAGGAUGUUCGAACCAUCUAAUGAAGAGGAAUUGUUCCUGUCGACUUGCAUUAGCCCACACGCUGUAAAAUGCAAGCUGUGAAAUCCAUCAUAUUGCGGGAGGUGUAUGCACGCAUCAUUAAAGUGUUGAAAAAUGUGUGAAGAGGAGGCUGUAAUGACUCACUAAUGACCUUGACCGACAACUUUAGCAAAGGGGGCUCUUGUCUGCUGCUACCUGGGAAGCAAGAGGAGUGUCAACAUGAUUAACUGCAAAAUACUGCCAAGGACAUGAGUGAGGAAAGAACAGAAUUAUCAAGAACCUAUUAAAGCACUCCGUGUUCAUCCAUGACGACUUCUUUUUUUUUUUCUUCUUGUCAGCCUCAAAACAAGGACAAAUCCUUUGUUUGCUGUGUUAUAUGCUUCAUCCAUCCUCAAGGUUUCCUGUUGUCUGGCUUGAAAAAAUAAAAUCUCAAACCGGCA